RNAcentral lists this ribosomal RNA (736 nucleotides) under uncultured Candidatus Poseidoniales archaeon. RNAcentral's name for it is "bacterial SSU rRNA". It matches the Rfam family "Archaeal small subunit ribosomal RNA", at positions 186 to 923 of the family's 1478-position model. Lineage: Archaea; Methanobacteriati; Thermoplasmatota; Candidatus Poseidoniia; Candidatus Poseidoniales. The record is from RNAcentral.
GAUGAAAGCUCCGGCGGCAUAGGAUGGGCCUGCGACGUAUCAGUUUUUAGGGGGUGUAACGUACCCUCUAGCCGUCAACGCGUACGGGUGUUGGGAGACAUAGCCCGGAGAUGGAUUCUGAGACACGAAUCCAGACCCUACGGGGUGCAGCAGGCGCGAAAACUUGGCAAUGCGAGCAAUCGUGACCAGGGAACUCCAAGUGGCUGGGGUAAUACCCAGUUUUUUCUUGACUCUUCAAAGGUCUUGGAAUAAGGGGUGGGUAAGGACGGUGCCAGCCGCCGCGGUAAUACCGGCGCCUCAAGUGGUAGUCGCUUUUAUUGGGCCUAAAACGUCCGUAGCCGGUCUGGUGCAUUCGUGGGUAAAUCAACCCGCUCAACGGGUUGAAUUCUGCGAGCACGGCCAGACUUGGGACCGGGAGAGGUGUGGGGUACUCUCAGGGUAGGGGUAAAAUCCUGUCAUCCUGAGAGGACCACCUGUUGCGAAGGCGCCACACUAGAACGGAUUCGACGGUCAGGGACGAAACCUAGGGGCACGAACCGGAUUAGAUACCCGGGUAGUCCUAGGUGUAAACGCUGUGGACUUGAUGUUGGGGGUGCUCCGAGCACUCUCAGUGUCGAAGCGAAGGUGAUAAGUCCACUGCCUGGGGAGUACGGUCGCAAGGCUGAAACUUAAAGGAAUUGGCGGGGGAGCACUGCAACCUGAGGAUUGUGCGGUUUAAUUGGACUCAACGCCGGGA